This 506-nucleotide ribosomal RNA is filed under the name uncultured bacterium. Its description in RNAcentral is "partial 16S ribosomal RNA". It matches the Rfam family "Bacterial small subunit ribosomal RNA", at positions 29 to 523 of the family's 1533-position model. The record is from RNAcentral.
AGUGAACGCUGGCGGUAGGCCUAACACAUGCAAGUCGAACGGCAGCACAGAGGAGCUUGCUCCUUGGGUGGCGAGUGGCGGACGGGUGAGGAAUACAUCGGAAUCUACUCUGUCGUGGGGGAUAACGUAGGGAAACUUACGCUAAUACCGCAUACGACCUACGGGUGAAAGCAGGGGAUCUUCGGACCUUGCGCGAUUGAAUGAGCCGAUACCGGAUUAGCUAGUUGGCGGGGUAAAGGCCCACCAAGGCGACGAUCCGUAGCUGGUCUGAGAGGAUGAUCAGCCACACUGGAACUGAGACACGGUACAGACUCCUACGGGAGGCAGCAGUGGGGAAUAUUGGACAAUGGGCGCAAGCCUGAUCCAGCCAUACCGCGUGGGUGAAGAAGGCCUUCGGGUUGUAAAGCCCUUUUGUUGGGAAAGAAAUCCAUCUGGUUAAUACCCGGGUGGGAUGACGGUACCCAAAGAAUAAGCACCGGCUAACUUCGUGCCAGCCGCCGCAGUAA